CGAUUUCUCAACAAUAUACAGCAAAAUAAGAGGGUUGUCUGGGCUCUGUUAAGGCAGGGAUGAGAAAGAAUAUUUGUAGUGUGGGUCUGCRUGGCUGUUCAGCACUGUCAGCGUGUUCCUACAGUCUCCCUCCUUGUUGCUUGACUCCYGUCGCCUCUCCCACUUCUCUCACCUGUUUUUCCAAGCAAUUCCUCCCAAUCCCACAGCAGUGACCGCAGCGGGCUGGGAAGAGCAGCCAGUCGCAUGCGCCACUUGUUUGAAGCCAAGAUCACAGCAGUCAAAUGCGAACUGGCUCCCAGUCUGGAGGCAAGAUUUCUGUUUUGGAAACUCCACGGAAACACAGGACUGGAAAGGAGCUCCUGGUCAUUGAAUCCUAUCUCCUUAGCAGCUGGAUAGUGUUUUUCAAGGCUCCAGACAAAUGAGCAGAGCUGGGUACAGAAGAGGGGCGGAUUCCAAUUGAUCACCUCAGUCCUGCUGGGGAAAAAGAGACGUGGCAAUAGGAACUGGCCACCCAAGACGGGACAGAUAGAGCAGAGGAGCCACUGAGGCCCUUCCCGACAGCCUUGGCCACCGAUCCGGAGGGAGAGCCUGYGG
This is a long non-coding RNA of Nothoprocta perdicaria, 594 nucleotides long. RefSeq lists it as uncharacterized. Lineage: Eukaryota; Metazoa; Chordata; Aves; Tinamiformes; Tinamidae. The record is from RefSeq and is a predicted model, not a curated record. The transcript has 3 exons.